Molecule: ribosomal RNA, 584 nt
Filed under: Trichoderma sinense
Lineage: Eukaryota; Fungi; Ascomycota; Sordariomycetes; Hypocreales; Hypocreaceae
Description: eukaryotic LSU rRNA
Rfam family: Eukaryotic large subunit ribosomal RNA
Source: RNAcentral
AUAUCAAUAAGCGGAGGAAAAGAAACCAACAGGGAUUGCCCCAGUAACGGCGAGUGAAGCGGCAACAGCUCAAAUUUGAAAUCUGGCCCCCCGGGUCCGAGUUGUAAUUUGUAGAGGAUGCUUUUGGCAAGGCGCCGCCCGAGUUCCCUGGAACGGGACGCCACAGAGGGUGAGAGCCCCGUCUGGCUGGCCGCCGAGCCUCUGUAAAGCUCCUUCGACGAGUCGAGUAGUUUGGGAAUGCUGCUCAAAAUGGGAGGUAUAUGUCUUCUAAAGCUAAAUAUUGGCCAGAGACCGAUAGCGCACAAGUAGAGUGAUCGAAAGAUGAAAAGCACCUUGAAAAGAGGGUUAAAUAGUACGUGAAAUUGUUGAAAGGGAAGCGCUUGUGACCAGACUUGGGCGCGGCGGAUCAUCCGGGGUUCUCCCCGGUGCACUUCGCCGCGUCCAGGCCAGCAUCAGUUCGUCGCGGGGGAAAAAGGCUUCGGGAACGUGGCUCCCCUGGGAGUGUUAUAGCCCGUUGCACAAUACCCUGCGGUGGACUGAGGACCGCGCAUCUGCAAGGAUGCUGGCGUAAUGGUCACCAGCGA